CGAGGAAUAUUGCGCAAUGGGGGCAACCCUGACGCAGCAACGCCGCGUGAGUGAGGAAGGUUUUCGGACCGUAAAGCUCUGUCGAGCGGGAAGAAAUGCAUGGUGGCUAAUAUCCAUCAUGCUUGACGGUACCGCCAAAGGAAGCACCGGCUAACUCCGUGCCAGCAGCCGCGGUAAUACGGGGGGUGCGAGCGUUGUUCGGAAUUAUUGGGCGUAAAGAGCGUGUAGGCGGCUGAAUAAGUCAGAUGUGAAAUCCCUGGGCUUAACCCAGGACGUGCAUUUGAAACUAUUCGGCUAGAGUAGGGGAGAGGAAAGUGGAAUUCCUGGUGUAGAGGUGAAAUUCGUAGAUAUCAGGAGGAACACCGGUGGCGAAGGCGACUUUCUGGCCCUAUACUGACGCUGAGACGCGAGAGCGUGGGUAGCAAACAG
Molecule: ribosomal RNA, 429 nt
Filed under: uncultured bacterium
Lineage: Bacteria
Description: bacterial SSU rRNA
Rfam family: Bacterial small subunit ribosomal RNA
Source: RNAcentral